GGCUCCUUGAAGAACUUUUAUAGGGAGUCGGACCUGCCCAGUGAUUAAAAUUUAACGGCCGCGGUACCCUGACCGUGCAAAGGUAGCAUAAUCAUUUGCCCUAUAAUUGAGGGCUAGUAUGAAUGGUUUGACAAGAGUAGUACUGUCUCCGUAAAAAUUUUUAGAAUUUAUUUUUUAGGUGAAGAAACCUAAAUUUAAUUAAAAGACAAGAAGACCCUAUCGAGCUUUAAAUACAUUUAUGAAAUAACAAAAAUUAUUUAAUAUUUUUAAUCAUAAAAAAUUUUGGUUGGGGCGACUAAGGAACAAAUAAAGCUUCUUUAUAAAAUUUAGAUUCAUGAAUAAUGAUCCAUUACUUAUAAUGAUUGAAAGAAUUAGUUACCGUAGGGAUAACAGCAUAAUCUUUUUUGAGAGUUCUAAUCGAAAAAAGGGUUUGUGACCUCGAUGUUGGACUAGGAUAUCCUGAAAGAUGCAGAAGUCUUCAAAGGUUGGUCUGUUCGACCAUUAAAAUCCU
Molecule: ribosomal RNA, 511 nt
Filed under: Euspira gilva
Lineage: Eukaryota; Metazoa; Mollusca; Gastropoda; Littorinimorpha; Naticidae
Description: partial 16S ribosomal RNA
Rfam family: Bacterial large subunit ribosomal RNA
Source: RNAcentral